Molecule: transfer RNA, 69 nt
Filed under: Mecistocephalus marmoratus
Lineage: Eukaryota; Metazoa; Arthropoda; Chilopoda; Geophilomorpha; Mecistocephalidae
Description: tRNA-Gln
Source: RNAcentral
UUAUAUUUAACAGGAAGCCCCUGAAUCAUUAAGAAUCAAACCCUUAAAUGCAAUAUACAUUAAAAUAUA